Molecule: non-coding RNA, 364 nt
Organism: Archocentrus centrarchus (flier cichlid)
Lineage: Eukaryota; Metazoa; Chordata; Actinopteri; Cichliformes; Cichlidae
Source: the annotation of a RefSeq genome assembly
UUCAUUCAACAUGUUGUCUUUGGACUGUUAUGGACUUUCUUUACUGAUUAUCAUGAGUCUGACAGGUGUCAGCUGUGAUGAACUGACUCCAAACAACAAAGAAGUGAUCAGUGUAGAAGGCAGCGCUGUUACUCUGUCCUACAAAUACUCCAAAGCUGCUGAUGGCAGAGAUUCCUUCUUCUGGUAUCGACAAUAUCCAGGAAAACCACCGGAGUUCCUGAUCUCUCACACAGGGACAGGAGAGAAAAUAUUAGCUCCAGUCCCAGAACUGUCUUUUCACGUGAGUGAUGAUAAAACAGGAAUGGAUCUGCAGAUCUCCUCUGCUGCAGUGACAGACUCUGCUGUGUACUACUGUGUUCUUUGA